UACACUCCUACGGGAGGCAGCAGUGGGGAAUAUUGGACAAUGGGCGCAAGCCUGAUCCAGCCAUGCCGCGUGAGUGAUGAAGGCCCUAGGGUUGUAAAGCUCUUUCACCGGUGAAGAUAAUGACGGUAACCGGAGAAGAAGCCCCGGCUAACUUCGUGCCAGCAGCCGCGGUAAUACGAAGGGGGCUAGCGUUGUUCGGAUUUACUGGGCGUAAAGCGCACGUAGGCGGACUAUUAAGUCAGGGGUGAAAUCCCGGGGCUCAACCCCGGAACUGCCUUUGAUACUGGUAGUCUUGAGUUCGAGAGAGGUGAGUGGAAUUCCGAGUGUAGAGGUGAAAUUCGUAGAUAUUCGGAGGAACACCAGUGGCGAAGGCGGCUCACUGGCUCGAUACUGACGCUGAGGUGCGAAAGCGUGGGGAGCAAACAGGAUUAGAAACCCCUGUAGUCCCAUG
Molecule: ribosomal RNA, 451 nt
Filed under: uncultured organism
Description: partial 16S ribosomal RNA
Rfam family: Bacterial small subunit ribosomal RNA
Source: RNAcentral